AACGUUAACACACAGAGACAGUGUCAGGAAGAGAGCCAUAUCUGGACUGGCCCCUUGAUUCUGAACACCAUAAUUAUGAGAAGAAAUGACUCGACACUCCCAGAAGGCGUGACUUCGUGCCAGUCCAAAGCAACCUCUUGUGUGCCGGAGGAACCAUGGACCUGACUUGCUACUUCUGACUCCACGCAGGUCAGGGAGUAGUCAGUCCCUGUGGGAGGCAGAGCGCCUUCUGCUGAAGAAUGGGCAAAGGAAAGAGAAAUGAAAUGGAG
This is a long non-coding RNA of Prionailurus viverrinus (fishing cat), 269 nucleotides long. RefSeq lists it as uncharacterized. The record is from RefSeq and is a predicted model, not a curated record. The transcript has 3 exons. NCBI's taxonomy places the organism in Eukaryota, Metazoa, Chordata, Mammalia, Carnivora, Felidae.